AGAGUUUGAUCAUGGCUCAGAACGAACGCUGGCGGCAGGCUUAACACAUGCAAGUCGAACGCGUGUAGCAAUACACGAGUGGCGCACGGGUGAGUAACGCGUGGAUAUCUGCCUUUUGGUUCGGAAUAACCCCGGGAAACUGGGGCUAAUACCGGAUGGUUCCUUCGGGAUAAAGAUUUAUCGCCAAAAGAUGAGUCCGCGUACGAUUAGCUAGUUGGUGAGGUAAUGGCUCACCAAGGCGACGAUCGUUAGCUGGUCUGAGAGGACGAUCAGCCACACUGGGACUGAGACACGGCCCAGACUCCUACGGGAGGCAGCAGUGGGGAAUAUUGGACAAUGGGGGCAACCCUGAUCCAGCCAUGCCGCGUGAGUGAUGAAGGCCUUCGGGUUGUAAAGCUCUUUUGGCGGGGACGAUGAUGACGGUACCCGCAGAAUAAGCCCCGGCUAACUUCGUGCCAGCAGCCGCGGUAAGACGAAGGGGGCUAGCGUUGUUCGGAAUUACUGGGCGUAAAGCGCGUGUAGGCGGUUGCCCAAGUCGGGUGUGAAAGCCUUGAGCUCAACUCAAGAAAUGCACUCGGUACUGGGUGACUAGAGGACCGGAGAGGAUAGUGGAAUUCCCAGUGUAGUGGUGAAAUACGUAGAGAUUGGGAAGAACACCAGUGGCGAAGGCGGCUAUCUGGACGGUUUCUGACGCUAAGACGCGAAAGCGUGGGGAGCAAACAGGAUUAGAUACCCUAGUAGUCC
RNAcentral lists this ribosomal RNA (744 nucleotides) under uncultured bacterium. RNAcentral's name for it is "bacterial SSU rRNA". It matches the Rfam family "Bacterial small subunit ribosomal RNA", at positions 8 to 796 of the family's 1533-position model. The record is from RNAcentral.